Molecule: long non-coding RNA, 2398 nt
Organism: Lathyrus oleraceus (garden pea)
Lineage: Eukaryota; Viridiplantae; Streptophyta; Magnoliopsida; Fabales; Fabaceae
Exons: 5
Source: RefSeq, a predicted model, not a curated record
UGUUUUUGAAAAUGGAUUUUACAAAAAUGUUUUUCAAAAUAUUACAAGUUUUUCUAAAUUUAUUUUUUAUAUAUUAAAAGAUUGAAUUGUUCAUUGUUAACAUAAAUAUAUAUUAUUGAAGAUCAAAACAUAGUCAAAAUCACAAUUUUAAAAAAAAAAUUGUAUCUCAAAAAUGAUUUUUAAAAAAAAUUAUUUGAAAUAUCUUCAAAAUUAAGUGAUUUUUUAAAAUUUUGAUAUCCAAAAAAAGUUUCGAUAAAAUAAUAAAGUAUCUGAAAUAACAUUUUAAGAAUAACUAUUUAAAUAAAAUUUUCAUUUGAAGCUUUUAUAAAAAAUUUCUUUGUAUAUUUUUUUUACACUAAAAUAUAUAACACCAUAAAAAUCAUUUUUAAAAAAAACCAAAACAAACUGCCCCAUAAUCACCUGCACGCUUUUCUCUCCCUAUCUUCUCCUCAAUCAAAGCCCUCGUCUCUACUCUCCAAAACAACACCAACACAUUUCUAAGCACGAUCCUAAAAAAAACAACAGUCUCAUUCACCUAUGAGCUUCAAAGCCAAACAUGCCUCAGCGGCCACCGAUCAUACCCUAUUUCCCCAAAUUAAAACAACUCAACCAAAUCGUACACAGACCGAUAAACCUAAAAUGCAAAGAGUUCAGGAAAAUAACCUAAACAACAAUCGGGAUAUGCACUCGCACAACAAUUAUCAAGUCAUUAAACACCAUGGUAGAAAUCGAAAUCAACUCAACCUUGCACAACUACGACUAUGUUAAAGGUUUUAGCAAGAAAAGAGUAGAUGUGAAGAAGUACCGACAACAAGGAGAUUUGCUCUGAUUCAAUGGGAUUUUGUUCAAGUUUGUGGAAAUUCGAAGUAAAAAAACCCCAACAAUCUUAACAACCUCUGGAGCUUUAGUCAGUGUUCAGAUGGUCUUCUUCAAGGGUAACGGUACCGGAAAUCCUCCCUUUUUCAGUGAUUGAUGUGCUCCUUAUAUAGGACGAAAACCGUUCAUCUCCAAAUCAUGAGCUGGCAGAGGUUUGCAAAAUCAAUCUGUUAAUAAUGCAAUCUUUCCUCGAUUUUGUGGGGACCGAUUGUAAAUCCUCUAUUCAUUGAAAACCUAUCCACUUUUGCCUUUUGUCCGUAGUGAUGUAUUUGGAUUCAUUCGAAACUCAGGUGGUCCCCCUUUUGGUAUGACCUCAUCGUUCAAAUUUAUCCUUUGUAUGUGGAUCUGCUUAUGUGUUUUAUUUUGUUCACGUAUCCUAUUUCAUAAAUGGUAUAUCUGUAGAUUCGGUUUUGGUAAACUGAUAUGACAGGGUAAUAUUUUAUUGGUGGUGUCCUGUCAUAGUCUCCCUGUUCUCUACUCGGCUUGCAUUUCGAAUUGUUUAGAGACGAGAGUAUGAGCCUCUGAGAAGUGUAAAAGCGAUGGUGGAUGUUUAGUAUUCGUCAGCUUCACAAGGCUUUGCUUUGUUCUUUAAAAGAAUUCUGUUUGUAACUCACUCUUGCCUCAAUGCAGGAUGGUCCUUGUUGACUGAUACAUCAGGGUGAUUUCGGCAAUCCUGUUUGUGAUUUCUCUGUGGAAAGCUUCUUCGUUAGGAACAUUCGUCUUGCCUGCUCUGGUUCUUCCUAACUUUUAUUUGCGUCGUGUAUUUGUCUGUAUGAUCCUAACAUAUGUUCAUUCGAUUCAAAUUGGUGGUUUGGGUAAUAGGCUUCUGUCAUGGUUCAUCUCAGGUUUUUCGACAUGGUUUGGUUUCCUGCUACAAGAGGGUUAUGGAAAAUAUGCAGCAUAGCCGUUUGGGAGCUCCUGUAAUGGAUUUAUGGUUAUCUUAUAAUGCCAAUGGUUCGUUUUUUCUUGCAGGUUAUCUACAUGUCAGUUUGGUUAUGCGGUUAGAGAAAUGCGACACGUUGUGACCGCUUGACUGUGUACUAAGACAGAUCCCAUCUCCUUGACACCUCGAGCUCGAAUGACCGGAGUUAAUGGGGACUUAAAUAAGCCAUGUCAUUGUGAACUGUCAUUUUCCAAACUAGGAAUAACACUGCCAGAUACUUUACCGUAUGGGAUUCUGCAGGAUGCUCAUAAUGCAGAAAAACAACAUUCGAUGUUAGUACACGGAGUUAUGUAUUUGUCCUUAUUAGCUUCCUUUUAUGAAACUGCAGGACAUGGGAUUUACGUUGUGGAAGGCCAUGGAUAAUGCAUAUUGGUAUUUGGCGUGCUGCAAGUAUAAUGCAUUUGGCUUGGAUGGUGAUGUAGACUGCUGUGCUUAUCUGGACAUGGCUUGAUGCUUAUUAGAUUUUUUUUUGAAGUGUAUUUCUUUCAUUUGGCUCUGUGGUAAUAGAUACAGUGAAUUCCAUGUAAAUGAUGAAAUAUGUUAUGCUUUCUCAUAAUGGAAUUGGAACAAAUACGGUUA